This 492-nucleotide ribosomal RNA is filed under the name uncultured bacterium. Its description in RNAcentral is "partial 16S ribosomal RNA". It matches the Rfam family "Bacterial small subunit ribosomal RNA", at positions 28 to 507 of the family's 1533-position model. The record is from RNAcentral.
GAUGAACGCUAGCUACAGGCUUAACACAUGCAAGUCGAGGGGAAACGACAUCGAAAGCUUGCUUUUGAUGGGCGUCGACCGGCGCACGGGUGAGUAACGCGUAUCCAACCUGCCCAUCACUUGGGAAUAACCUUGCGAAAGUAAGACUAAUACCCAAUGACAUCCCACGAAGACAUCUGAAUGGGAUUAAAGAUUUAUCAGUGACGGAUGGGGAUGCGUCUGAUUAGCUUGUUGGCGGGGUAACGGCCCACCAAGGCAACGAUCAGUAGGGGUUCUGAGAGGAAGGUCCCCCACAUUGGAACUGAGACACGGUCCAAACUCCUACGGGAGGCAGCAGUGAGGAAUAGUGGUCAAUGGGCGAGAGCCUGAACCAGCCAAGUAGCGUGCAGGAUGAUGGCCCUAUGGGUUGUAAACUGCUUUUAUAAGGGAAUAAAGUGGGUCUCGUGAGACUUUUUGCAUGUACCUUAUGAAUAAGGACCGGCUAAUUCCGUG